AUGUCAUCUAUAGCCACAACCGGGUUAAUUGGGCCGGUUUGGGCUGGCCAUCCUGAAUUCCCAAUUCGUUCGCCUUCCCCUUCCUUUCGUCUCCUCUCCCGUACCCGCAAUGCCCCGUCCCUAGGCGGCCAGGCGCCCACUGCGGCGGCCGGCGAGGAGCGUAGGCGUCUCUCUCCCCUCCUCCUCCGGCGGCAAGAGGAAAGCAAAUCCUCAACAAGGUUGAGAGGUGAAUCAUAUAAGCUCUACUGGAUCCGACCGCAACGAAGCUCGCCGCCCCGACCGGCCUCGCCGGCGACGAGGCCCUCGACUUCUCCGUCAUCAGAGAUGUACGUCACGCCACCCUACACUGACGUCUACUCCAUUCCGAGGGUUCUUGAGCCAAUGCCACAAAAGAAAGAUUAUGGCUGCUACCAUGCAAGUGAGCCACCAGUUGAACACUCGUGUGAUCCCCUAUACGUGAUAGAGAGCAAGAUUAUGAUGUUCAACGGACAAGCAUGGUAUCUGACAACCUCUAAACCGAGGGGACAUGCAACCUUCUUCGCUUCAUACGUGCUCUUUUGCACAUGUUGCCCGCAGGAAGAACUGUAGAAAGGUGCACAUCAUCUAGCAUUUCGGCCACCCUGCCUUGCGGAACUUUUGAUCUUCAACACGGCAUGGUUCGUCGGAUGGAUCAUCAUGCUCCAUGUUCUCCAUUUUUGAGUCGCUUUCAACUUCAAUGGCAUCCUCGCCGUGACAAGUCCAACGUGAAUAACCCAACACAAAACCGUGUAGGAGCAAGUGCAACUCCACAUCGCUUGGUAGAAGCAUCAUUGUGUUAUAACAAUUGCUACAUGGACAACAUGUCAUGUCGUCCCCUUUUCUCAGCAUAUGUUCCGUGGCGACAUUAGUGAAGUCCUUCAGUUUUCUUAUCCACUCUUCACAA
Molecule: long non-coding RNA, 922 nt
Organism: Brachypodium distachyon (stiff brome)
Lineage: Eukaryota; Viridiplantae; Streptophyta; Magnoliopsida; Poales; Poaceae
Exons: 7
Source: RefSeq, a predicted model, not a curated record